This 1006-nucleotide long non-coding RNA is filed under the name Homo sapiens (human). Its description in RNAcentral is "HSALNT0405934". The record is from RNAcentral. Lineage: Eukaryota; Metazoa; Chordata; Mammalia; Primates; Hominidae.
CCAACCACUCCUUUCAAGAACUCAAAAUGCCAGUCAGUGCAGGUAAAGGAAGAUGCACAUCCGCCGGUUGCCAAUUUCUGAAAUUUUCUUGUUACUUCUACGAUACAGACAAGUGAUGCCUUCUCAACUUCGUCCAGGUUUCUUCCAAUCUCCGAACACGGUGACUCCGAAUCCUCUUGCCACUCCCUUCUCCAGGGACCUACCUAGGCAGCACUCCCAGCCCCUGCCAGCUCUGGAAGCUGCAGAGAUCCCGACAGUCGGGGAUGGGGAUUGAAUCCUCUCAUUGCAGUGCAAUUAAGCGGAACCACGACCACCGCACAGAUUGGCUGACAACACACAUUCCAUAAGACCAGCAAUCGAAUUUUGAGAAGCCUUGUCCAAUCAACAGGCUUUAUUUGGGAUUCAGUUUUUUACUUUGUUCUAUUAGGAGGAAAUAUAAUCAGCCACCAGCUUAGCCCUCCAAAAGAGGGGACAGAGAUGUUUCUCCGCUUUUGCACGCUAUAAAGUGAAUCUACAAGUAGUAGUUGGUGGAGGGAAAAUGGGCCUGCAUGGAGAAGGCGCCCACCACGAAGGCACGGCCAAGCCGGGUUGCACGCAAGAAACACACAAAAUACCAGAAGAGAACCAGGCUGAGAGAAGUUAAGUGACGUGCCCAAGGAUACACAGCUCUCUGCAUGUGACACGCUGACUCCCCUUCUGCCAUGAUUGUAAGUUUCGUCACUAGAAGCAGAUGCCGACACUAUGCUUCAUGUACAGCCUGCAGAACUGUGAGCCAAGAACUAUGUACUGAAGAUUUGGGGGCAAAAGAGGACCACAUCUGCAACUAACUGGAGAUGGUUCAGAAGAUGAUGCACACACACUCAAGCAUAUCGAGAGAGAAAGGGGCAGAGGACACAGAAGGCCCUGAGUUUAAUGUGCAUGUUUUGGGGAAUUUGGAAGAAGAGCCCCUGAUAAUUCAUCCUUCAUUAUUCUUGCAACUUUUCUCUAAAUCUGAAAUUAUAUUAAA